This 253-nucleotide ribosomal RNA is filed under the name uncultured bacterium. Its description in RNAcentral is "partial 16S ribosomal RNA". It matches the Rfam family "Bacterial small subunit ribosomal RNA", at positions 524 to 776 of the family's 1533-position model. The record is from RNAcentral.
UACGUAGGGGGCAAGCGUUGUCCGGAUUUAUUGGGCGUAAAGAGCGUGUAGGCGGCCUGGUAGGUCAGCUGUGAAAACUCGAGGCUCAACCUCGAGACGUCGGUUGAAACCACCUGGCUAGAGUCCGGAAGAGGAGAGUGGAAUUCCCGGUGUAGCGGUGAAAUGCGCAGAUAUCGGGAAGAACACCGGUGGCGAAGGCGGGUCUCUGGGCCGAAAUUGACGCUGAGGAGCGAAAGCGUGGGGAGCGAACAGG